This 471-nucleotide long non-coding RNA is filed under the name Trifolium pratense (red clover). RNAcentral's name for it is "long non-coding RNA (TPRA_LNC008168)". The record is from RNAcentral. Lineage: Eukaryota; Viridiplantae; Streptophyta; Magnoliopsida; Fabales; Fabaceae.
UUUUUUUUUUUUUGAACGGCAAAAUAUUAUUAAUAAUAACCGGUCUCUGCACAAGAUGAACAGAGACCGAGAUAAACGGAACUACAAAACAAAGGUGCCGUAUAUAUGCGGAACACCAAUGAAAAAGCUAAAAACUGACACCACCUAGUACACACUCCACAGUCGACGGACCAUCAACCCGACCCAAAAAGAUGCCCUAAGACUCUAACUCCCGAUCUCGAAUCAAAAGUGAUCGGCCCAUCAGAAUACAAAAAGCAGCCUUGCGAGCCAAAAUUAAUGGGCAACGGUAGAAUGAAAACAUAGGCAGCUAAGUCCUCAGCUCGCAGUCCGAUCCAAGCAGUCAACACCGAUGCGAAAAAGGUCGACCAGAUACAAAGAAACCUGCAAAUCUCAGCAGAUUUGGAAACCAUCAGAGACUCAAAAACGAGUCCUGCAAAUCUCAACAGAUUUGUAAGCGGUCAGAGAAUCUCA